GACGAACGCUGGCGGCGUGCUUAACACAUGCAAGUCGAACGGUAAGGCCCCUUCGGGGGUACACGAGUGGCGAACGGGUGAGUAACACGUGAGCAACCUGCCCUUGACUCUGGAAUAACAGUUGGAAACAGCUGCUAAUACUGGAUAUUCAUCGUCUCCUUCCUGGGGGGUGGUGGAAAGCUCCGGCGGUUAGGGAUGGGCUCGCGGCCUAUCAGCUUGUUGGUGAGGUAAUGGCUCACCAAGGCUUCGACGGGUAGCCGGCCUGAGAGGGCGACCGGCCACACUGGGACUGAGAUACGGCCCAGACUCCUACGGGAGGCAGCAGUGGGGAAUAUUGCACAAUGGGCGCAAGCCUGAUGCAGCAACGCCGCGUGCGGGAUGACGGCCUUCGGGUUGUAAACCGCUUUCAGUAGGGACGAAGGGUGACUGACGGUACCUACAGAAGAAGGACCGGCUAACUACGUG
RNAcentral lists this ribosomal RNA (465 nucleotides) under uncultured bacterium. RNAcentral describes it as "partial 16S ribosomal RNA". It matches the Rfam family "Bacterial small subunit ribosomal RNA", at positions 28 to 507 of the family's 1533-position model. The record is from RNAcentral.